RNAcentral lists this ribosomal RNA (279 nucleotides) under uncultured bacterium. Its description in RNAcentral is "partial 16S ribosomal RNA". It matches the Rfam family "Bacterial small subunit ribosomal RNA", at positions 335 to 603 of the family's 1533-position model. The record is from RNAcentral.
ACUCCUACGGGAGGCAGCAGUGGGAAGUAUUGCACAAUGGGCAGGCAAGCCUGAUGCAGCCAUGCCGCGUGUAUGAAGAAGGCCUUCGGGUUGUAAAGUACUUUCAGCAGUGAGGAAGGUGGAGUCGUUAAUAGCGGCCUCAUUUUGACGUUAGCUGCAGAAGAAGCACCGGCUAACUCCGUGCCAGCAGCCGCGGUAAUACGGAGGGUGCGAGCGUUAAUCGGAAUUACUGGGCGUAAAGCGCAUGCAGGUGGUUUGUUAAGUCAGAUGUGAAAGCCC